UUCAUCAGGCCUUACCAUCCUAAACACACCUGAUGUCAUCUGAUCCUGGAAGCUAAGCAGGGUAGCCACUUGGAUGGGAGACCUAUCUUCUACUGAUGACU
Molecule: ribosomal RNA, 101 nt
Filed under: Castor canadensis (American beaver)
Lineage: Eukaryota; Metazoa; Chordata; Mammalia; Rodentia; Castoridae
Source: RNAcentral